Tripterygium wilfordii is the source of this 1331-nucleotide long non-coding RNA. RefSeq lists it as uncharacterized. Lineage: Eukaryota; Viridiplantae; Streptophyta; Magnoliopsida; Celastrales; Celastraceae. The record is from RefSeq and is a predicted model, not a curated record. The transcript is spliced from 3 exons.
CUCAAAAGGGAAGAGUGGAUCAUAGUGUGGAUCCCCAAUAUCCAUUGGCAGCUGAUCUACUCUCUUGAACCAAGUGAAUGAGUGAUAGCCAACUUUCCUGUUAAUCUAUCGGCGCCAAAUAGAAACAUCAGUCACACCUUGCCCUUCACUUCCAGUAAGCCUAGCUACGGAUUCAAACAAGUGCUUCAGUAUUUUUUUUGUUCCCCAGUUAUUUAGAUGGUACCAAGACUGGAGGUGGAAGAUGCUUCUAAUGAUUCAUAUGACAAAUCCGUUUCCAAGACUGGAGGUCCUAUCUCAACUAAAUAAUAGAACAUGUCUUUUCAUUUGACAUUACUGUUUAUGAUUAGUUUCUGAGAAGGGGGUUUCAUCAGUAAACUUCCAAUUAUAGGAUGUUCAGGGGAUACUGGGAGGUGGUGGACUACCUAUCAUAAUGUGUAUUCUCAUCUUUCGAAGAUGCUCCAUUUCAUUUCAUUUUGUUUUAUGUAUUGUCAUUGGUGCUAUUAUUGAAAAGCUGCAAACAGUUUGGGUCUUCUUUGAGUCGUGAAAGGUUUGCAUAAAGGUUAACAACUUUAUGAGCGUACAUGUAAUAACAGAGAAAUACCAACUUCCUUUCCUCUUCCUCUCUCUCCACAGAGAAAUACCCACCUUUUCAAUCCUCAGUUUCAUACGCAUUUGGGACGUGGGGGAGACGUUGGUUCCCGCCAUAAACCCUUCUUUCUAAGAAAUUCUAGAAAUAAUUGUAAUAAUGUUUCUAUUGGAGUUAUCCAAGGGUAGGGCUCAAGAAUCUUCUUUCAAGAGAGAACCCAUGGUGCCUCCUUACAGUGUCCUCAUCAUGGGUUCAACAAAAGGUGUUUUCUUUCUCUCGGAUUGAUUUUCUGAAGGGUUUGAAAUGGUUUUGGUUCCUUUGUUGAAUUAAAAUUUUCAGUCUUUUUUUCUUCUUUUAUUUAGGGAUCUGGUAUGCAAUGGCUAAAGGAGUUUCUGAAAGCAGGCGACAAUGUCAUAAUCUGCUCAAAAUCUGAACAGGUGUGUCUCGAGCUUUCAGUUGAGUUGCUGAAUAGCUAGCUUUCACUUUUACUUAACUGAGUCUUUGGCUGAUGAACACGCAAAGUCUGCUAUUCAUAGCCUGAGAGGAGAAUUCGGGGAGCAGCGUGUCUUGGUUAGGAGAUGUGUGAUGUCAAGAGAAGCACAGGAUGUUUAAAAUUUGGUGGCUUUUGCAAAACAAAAUCUGAAAUACAUUGAUAUAUGGGUAUCCAUGUCAGAUCUUUUGUCUUCAUGACUUCAUCAUUGUUUCUGUUUGUAGAGUUUACACAAUAAUUCAUUGGUUUUGUUCU